RNAcentral lists this long non-coding RNA (875 nucleotides) under Ovis aries (sheep). RNAcentral describes it as "lncRNA (ENSOARG00000025938.1)". Lineage: Eukaryota; Metazoa; Chordata; Mammalia; Artiodactyla; Bovidae. The record is from RNAcentral.
GGCAGGCCUCCUCCCGUCUUCCCCACCUCCGGCCCCGCCUGCUGACCCUGGGUCCUGGUCAAGCCCCCUGCCCCGAUUCUGGAAGGGAAGGAGUACUCUGAGAUCCCACAAUACCAGAGGGAGGAAGGGGAGAGGGAGCCCUAGGGUGCUCCCAGGAAAGCAGGCCCUGGGGCCCCACCGUCAGGCAGAGUCUCUGGAGGACUGCCUUCCCCUCGGCCCCUAGAGAAUGCCUCCGGGCUGUUCCGGCUCACAGGUGCCCAGCUCAGGCCGGCUGAGGGCAGAAGAGGGUGAGCAGGGGUGGGCAAGUGUGCAUCGAAGGAGUGGACGAUGGAGGAACCCUGGCUGGGAGUGCUCCAAGGACAGGACGCUGGGACACGUGGGUGGUGCGAGGGGUGCGCAGCAGGUCAGACCGAUGGCAGGACAGGCCCCACGGGGCAGCUCACGGAGGACACGCACUACCCGGAUGGGCGGAGAGGCCUUUCCGGCACCCUAGCAGGCCUGGACAUGCCCCAGAUGGGUCAAGGCUGAAUCAGCCAGGCUGGCAGGGUCCCCGGGAGCCCAGGCCUGGCCACCGCCCAUCCAGGAAAGGAAAGGUGGGUGGCUGCUGUGCUGCAGGAUUGGGGCCUCCUGGCAUCUUGGGAACCCUGUCUUUGAGCCCCGCCCGAGGCCCCGCCCCUCCCCAGGAGGAAAAAGUCAGCUACUGGAGGCUCAGCUCACAGGAGCAAGGACCUGGGCAAGAGGACAGCUCGCCGCCACCGCAGCUCCAGGUGGGUCCUGGGCUGAGGGACUUCCCCACCCGUGGUCAGACCAGCCUAGCUGUGUCUCCCAGCCCCCUCUCCACUUCCACCACCUCACAGAGCCCCAGCCACUCAGGG